CAAUAGCGUAUAUUAAAGCUGUUGCGGUUAAAAAGCUCGUGGUUGGAUUUCUGUCAAGGACAACUGGUCCGCCCCUCGGGUGAGCACAUAGUUUGGUCUUGGCAUCUUGUUGGAAACUGUUGCUGCACUUGGUUGUGUGGCGCAGUGUCCAGCACUUUCACUUUGAGGAAAUUGGAGUGUUUCAAGCAGGCACAUGCCUUUGGACACAGUAGCAUGGAAUAAUUAGAUUGGGCUUUUGCUCCAACUUGUCGGUUUCUGGAGCUGAGGUGAGAAUUAAUGGGGAUUGUUGGGGGCAUCCGAAUUUAGCCGUCAGAGGUGAAAUUCUUGGAUCUGCUAAAGACGGACAACUGCGAAAGCGUUUGCCCAGGAUGUUUUCAUUGA
Molecule: ribosomal RNA, 381 nt
Filed under: uncultured eukaryote
Lineage: Eukaryota
Description: partial 18S ribosomal RNA
Rfam family: Eukaryotic small subunit ribosomal RNA
Source: RNAcentral